AUGUAGCCCCGUACACUCCGGUUCCUCCGCGCCGUCCGCACUCGCCUGACGGCUGCUCGCCAAGUCUUUUUUAGCC
This 76-nucleotide small RNA is filed under the name Xanthomonas campestris. RNAcentral's name for it is "sX9 sRNA". It matches the Rfam family "Xanthomonas sRNA sX9". Lineage: Bacteria; Pseudomonadati; Pseudomonadota; Gammaproteobacteria; Lysobacterales; Lysobacteraceae. RNAcentral also lists the same sequence under 4 other names. The record is from RNAcentral.